Molecule: long non-coding RNA, 628 nt
Filed under: Mytilus galloprovincialis (Mediterranean mussel)
Lineage: Eukaryota; Metazoa; Mollusca; Bivalvia; Mytilida; Mytilidae
Source: RNAcentral
UAUUACUUUGUCAACAUUCACACUGAAAUCCCGAUGAAUAUGCAGUAAUGCUAUGUAACUUUCGUUGUUCAUUGUUGAUCGUACAUUUGUUUUCAAUUACAUACGUAGUACCGUGACUGAUAGAUCUCAGGACCAUCAUGGCAUGUACGUAGCACUCGCGAGAUGUUAUAAACCAGCGUACGUGUUCGGCAUCGGGCGACCUCCCAAUUGAAUUCUUCAAAAUUACAUGCUAGGUCAGUUUCGUAUGUUUCAAUAUUGAGAUUUGUUCGUUUGUGAUAUUUCCUACAACACGAUGAAGCAGAUACAGCACAAAGAAGCGAUUUUCUGAUAACUUGACGCGACUCCACUCUCCAGUUGCCUUAUCAUAUGGUCUAUGAACGCAAAAAAAAUGAGACUUUCCAAUACUGUUUUGGCGUGGUUGCAGGGUGAUUGGCUCCGGUAGUCUGUCAACCACAUCGCCUCGGCAUAUUUUCAACGAUAUCGAAGGGGUCUGAUAAUUCUAAUGCCGAGUGGUACAUCUCAUUCCAAACUGAUGAACUGUACACUGUAAAAUGUGCUCCAAAACUACAUAUCUUAGACUGAGUAUUACAAAUUCAAAAGUAAAAAUCUUGUAAAAGAUACAAGUAAG